RNAcentral lists this ribosomal RNA (275 nucleotides) under uncultured bacterium. Its description in RNAcentral is "partial 16S ribosomal RNA". It matches the Rfam family "Bacterial small subunit ribosomal RNA", at positions 338 to 606 of the family's 1533-position model. The record is from RNAcentral.
CCUACGGGUGGCUGCAGUCGAGAAUUUUUCACAAUGGGGGAAACCCUGAUGGAGCGACGCCGCGUGGGGGAUGAAGGGCUUCGGCUCGUAAACCCCUGUCAUUCGCGAAUAAUUGCUGUGACUUAACACGUCACGGCUUGAUAGUAGCGGAAGAGGAAGGGACGGCUAACUCUGUGCCAGCAGCCGCGGUAAUACAGAGGUCCCAAGCGUUGUUCGGAUUUACUGGGCGUAAAGGGUGCGUAGGCGGCGCGGAAAGUUCGGGGUGAAAUCUCCAG